This 228-nucleotide long non-coding RNA is filed under the name Elaeis guineensis (African oil palm). RNAcentral describes it as "long non-coding RNA (EGUI_LNC048340)". The record is from RNAcentral. Lineage: Eukaryota; Viridiplantae; Streptophyta; Magnoliopsida; Arecales; Arecaceae.
GACCUCCAUCGUUCUCGUCAUUCCCCUGUGCUCCUGGGGUUGAUCUAGGUUAGUUCCGAAACUUCCUGUUGUUUUUCUGUCCUUCCUUCUUCGUAUUCUGUUUAUUUAGCUUUCUCGGGGGCCUGUCUGCUAUUUUUUUUAAUUUUUCAGGAUUUUUGUGGCUUCCGUCUGAUUUAAAAUAUCCUCUGAUAUCUCCUCCUCUAGCAGUUCUAGGAGUUCGUCAGCCCC